UACAGAGACUGCAAGCGUUAUUCGGAUUCACUGGGCGUAAAGGGUGCGCAGGCGGCCGUGUGUGUGAGGCGUGAAAGCCCGGGGCUCAACCCCGGAAUUGCACCUCAAACUACAUGGCUAGAGCAUUGGAGAGGGUAGCGGAAUUCACGGUGUAGCAGUGAAAUGCGUAGAUAUCGUGAGGAACACCAGAGGCGAAGGCGGCUUCCUGGACAAUUGCUGACGCUCAGGCACGAAAGCGUGGGGAGCAAAAGGG
RNAcentral lists this ribosomal RNA (253 nucleotides) under uncultured bacterium. RNAcentral describes it as "partial 16S ribosomal RNA". It matches the Rfam family "Bacterial small subunit ribosomal RNA", at positions 524 to 776 of the family's 1533-position model. The record is from RNAcentral.